AUGCUGUGCAAGCACAUUGGCGUGAGCACGGCAGCAACCAUUCUGGUGCUCGCCGACCAGCAUGGCUGUGACAAGUUGAAGACGGCGUGCUAUGGUUUCCUCGGCUGUCCCGCGAACCUGAAGGCUGUCGUGCAGACUGAAGGGUUUGAACAUCUGCAGAGGAGCUGCCCCCAUCUUAUGAAGGACAUUAUCCUUAGGAUGCUGCCCUAG
This 210-nucleotide ribosomal RNA is filed under the name Triticum aestivum (bread wheat). RNAcentral describes it as "partial small subunit ribosomal RNA". The record is from RNAcentral. Lineage: Eukaryota; Viridiplantae; Streptophyta; Magnoliopsida; Poales; Poaceae.